UAUAUUCUGCCUUGUACGUGUCAAUGUAGUUUUUAUAAUCCAACACUCUUUUAAAGGGAAUCUGACUCUGAACAGAGGAUUGCAGACCUCCCGCUAUGCGGACGAAGGGAGCGUGAGACUUUCAGGAGGAUACCCACCUGGCUUUUUAGCUUGGUUUUAUGUGCUAUAUGACGGCAAGGCGGUUUAUAU
Molecule: non-coding RNA, 189 nt
Organism: Ruminococcus sp. 37_24
Lineage: Bacteria; Bacillati; Bacillota; Clostridia; Eubacteriales; Oscillospiraceae
Source: Rfam